UACAGAGGUGGCAAGCGUUGUUCGGAAUUACUGGGCGUAAAGGGCGCGUAGGCGGCCAACUAAGUCCGACGUGAAAUCCCCAGGCUUAACCUGGGAACUGCGUCGGAUACUGGAUGGCUUGAAUUCGGGAGAGGGAUGCAGAAUUCCAGGUGUAGCGGUGAAAUGCGUAGAUAUCUGGAGGAAUACCGGUGGCGAAGGCGGCAUCCUGGACCGACAUUGACGCUGAGGAGCGAAAGCUAGGGGAGCAAACGGG
RNAcentral lists this ribosomal RNA (253 nucleotides) under uncultured bacterium. RNAcentral describes it as "partial 16S ribosomal RNA". It matches the Rfam family "Bacterial small subunit ribosomal RNA", at positions 524 to 776 of the family's 1533-position model. The record is from RNAcentral.